GCUGGGCAUGGUGGCUCAUGCCUGUAAUCUCAGCACUUUGGGAGACUGAGGCGGGUGGAUCACCUGAGGUCAGGAGUUCUGGACCAGCCUGGCCAACAUGGCGAAACCCCGUCUCUA
Molecule: non-coding RNA, 117 nt
Organism: Gorilla gorilla gorilla (western lowland gorilla)
Lineage: Eukaryota; Metazoa; Chordata; Mammalia; Primates; Hominidae
Rfam family: Metazoan signal recognition particle RNA
About the family: The signal recognition particle (SRP) is a universally conserved ribonucleoprotein. It is involved in the co-translational targeting of proteins to membranes. The eukaryotic SRP consists of a 300-nucleotide 7S RNA and six proteins: SRPs 72, 68, 54, 19, 14, and 9.
Source: Rfam